RNAcentral lists this ribosomal RNA (524 nucleotides) under uncultured Escherichia sp. RNAcentral's name for it is "bacterial SSU rRNA". It matches the Rfam family "Bacterial small subunit ribosomal RNA", at positions 30 to 541 of the family's 1533-position model. Lineage: Bacteria; Pseudomonadati; Pseudomonadota; Gammaproteobacteria; Enterobacterales; Enterobacteriaceae. The record is from RNAcentral.
AUUGAACGCUGGCGGCAGGCCUAACACAUGCAAGUCGAACGGUAACAGGAAGCAGCUUGCUGCUUUGCUGACGAGUGGCGGACGGGUGAGUAAUGUCUGGGAAACUGCCUGAUGGAGGGGGAUAACUACUGGAAACGGUAGCUAAUACCGCAUAACGUCGCAAGACCAAAGAGGGGGACCUUCGGGCCUCUUGCCAUCGGAUGUGCCCAGAUGGGAUUAGCUAGUAGGUGGGGUAACGGCUCACCUAGGCGACGAUCCCUAGCUGGUCUGAGAGGAUGACCAGCCACACUGGAACUGAGACACGGUCCAGACUCCUACGGGAGGCAGCAGUGGGGAAUAUUGCACAAUGGGCGCAAGCCUGAUGCAGCCAUGCCGCGUGUAUGAAGAAGGCCUUCGGGUUGUAAAGUACUUUCAGCGGGGAGGAAGGGAGUAAAGUUAAUACCUUUGCUCAUUGACGUUACCCGCAGAAGAAGCACCGGCUAACUCCGUGCCAGCAGCCGCGGUAAUACGGAGGGUGCAAGCGU